CCGGCGGUCACGCCGUCCAUGCAGUCGAGCGGUAGAGAGAAGCUUGCUUCUCUUGAGAGCGGCGGACGGGUGAGUAAUGCCUAGGAAUCUGCCUGGUAGUGGGGGAUAACGUUCGGAAACGGACGCUAAUACCGCAUACGUCCUACGGGAGAAAGCAGGGGACCUUCGGGCCUUGCGCUAUCAGAUGAGCCUAGGUCGGAUUAGCUAGUUGGUGGGGUAAUGGCUCACCAAGGCGACGAUCCGUAACUGGUCUGAGAGGAUGAUCAGUCACACUGGAACUGAGACACGGUCCAGACUCCUACGGGAGGCAGCAGUGGGGAAUAUUGGACAAUGGGCGAAAGCCUGAUCCAGCCAUGCCGCGUGUGUGAAGAAGGUCUUCGGAUUGUAAAGCACUUUAAGUUGGGAGGAAGGGCCGUUACCUAAUACGUGAUGGUUUUGACGUUACCGACAGAAUAAGCACCGGCUAACUCUGUGCCAGCAGCCGCGGUAAUACAGAGGGUGCAAGCGUUAAUCGGAAUUACUGGGCGUAAAGCGCGCGUAGGUGGUUUGUUAAGUUGGAUGUGAAAUCCCCGGGCUCAACCUGGGAACUGCAUUCAAAACUGACUGACUAGAGUAUGGUAGAGGGUGGUGGAAUUUCCUGUGUAGCGGUGAAAUGCGUAGAUAUAGGAAGGAACACCAGUGGCGAAGGCGACCACCUGGACUGAUACUGACACUGAGGUGCGAAAGCGUGGGGAGCAAACAGGAUUAGAUACCCUGGUAGUCCACGCCGUAAACGAUGUCAACUAGCCGUUGGGAGCCUUGAGCUCUUAGUGGCGCAGCUAACGCAUUAAGUUGACCGCCUGGGGAGUACGGCCGCAAGGUUAAAACUCAAUGAAUUGACGGGGGCCCGCACAAGCGGUGGAGCAUGUGGGUUUAAUUUCGAAGCAACGCGAAGAACCCUUACCAGGCCCUUGACAUCCAAUGAACUUUCUAAUGCCUCGGAACAUUGAGACAGGUGCUGCAUGCUGUCGUCAGCUCGUGUCGUGAGAUGGUGGUUAGGUCCGUACGAGCGCAACCUGGUCUUAGUACAGCACGGUAAUGUGCACUCUAAGCAGACUGCGUUGACAACCGAAAGAAACGU
This 1120-nucleotide ribosomal RNA is filed under the name Pseudomonas rhodesiae. RNAcentral's name for it is "bacterial SSU rRNA". It matches the Rfam family "Bacterial small subunit ribosomal RNA", at positions 36 to 1175 of the family's 1533-position model. The record is from RNAcentral. Lineage: Bacteria; Pseudomonadati; Pseudomonadota; Gammaproteobacteria; Pseudomonadales; Pseudomonadaceae.